RNAcentral lists this unclassified non-coding RNA (262 nucleotides) under Sulcaria sp. Its description in RNAcentral is "partial contains small subunit ribosomal RNA, internal transcribed spacer 1, and 5.8S ribosomal RNA". The stretch from base 1 to 46 matches the Rfam family "Eukaryotic small subunit ribosomal RNA", at positions 1786 to 1831 of the family's 1831-position model. Lineage: Eukaryota; Fungi; Ascomycota; Lecanoromycetes; Lecanorales; Parmeliaceae. The record is from RNAcentral.
AAGUCGUAACAAGGUUUCCGUAGGUGAACCUGCGGAAGGAUCAUUAAAGAGAAACGAGCCUCUGGCUCGGGGGGCUUUCGGCCUUGCUCUUCACCCUUUGUCUACCUAUCUUUGUUGCUUUGGCGGGCCUGGAGCUCACGCCCCUGCUGGCCUCUCAGCCGGCGAGCGCCCGCCAGAGGCCCUUCAAAAUCCGAUUCUUCAGCGUUGUCCGAGCAAAACCACAAAUAAAUCAAAACUUUCAACAACGGAUCUCUUGGUUCUG